GUGAAUGAUGACACUAAGACUAGAGUCUCUGAAUGCUCUGAUGCCUUAGUAAACGCUCUGACAC
Molecule: small nucleolar RNA, 64 nt
Organism: Hyla sarda
Lineage: Eukaryota; Metazoa; Chordata; Amphibia; Anura; Hylidae
Product: small nucleolar RNA SNORD52
Exons: 1
Source: RefSeq, a predicted model, not a curated record